AUGUUAGCAAAACAGUGUUGGCGACUGCUGCAGAAUCCAGACUCUUUGUGUGCACGUGUUCUUAGUGCAAAAUAUUAUCCCGACGGAAACAUCUUGAAUGCGGGACCGAAGAAGGGUUCUUCUUACACUUGGCAGAGCAUUGUCUCGGGUAUCCAAACCUUUAAACGGGGUUGCAUAUGGCGUGUUGGCACGGGAUCAAAAAUCAACAUGUGGCAAGAUCCCUGGAUACCAUCAAGUGAAAUUCGAAAAGUAAUAACCCCAAGGGGUGAUACACUACUGGGAAAAGUUGAAGAAUUAAUUGAUCCACACACUGGACAGUGGGACGUUGACCUUAUUCAAUCAGUUUUUUCGCCUGUGGAUGUUCAUCGAAUCCUCCAAAUACCUCUUCGGGUGGAAGUGUUAGAGGAUUUUCUUGCAUGGAGUGGUACUCGAUCAGGGACGUUCUCUGUUCGGUCG
RNAcentral lists this ribosomal RNA (456 nucleotides) under Triticum aestivum (bread wheat). RNAcentral describes it as "partial small subunit ribosomal RNA". The record is from RNAcentral. Lineage: Eukaryota; Viridiplantae; Streptophyta; Magnoliopsida; Poales; Poaceae.